RNAcentral lists this ribosomal RNA (397 nucleotides) under uncultured bacterium. Its description in RNAcentral is "partial 16S ribosomal RNA". It matches the Rfam family "Bacterial small subunit ribosomal RNA", at positions 523 to 918 of the family's 1533-position model. The record is from RNAcentral.
AUACGUAGGUGGCAAGCGUUGUCCGGAAUUAUUGGGCGUAAAGCGCGCGCAGGCGGUCCUUUAAGUCUGAUGUGAAAGCCCACGGCUCAACCGUGGAGGGUCAUUGGAAACUGGAGGACUUGAGUGCAGAAGAGGAAAGUGGAAUUCCAAGUGUAGCGGUGAAAUGCGUAGAGAUUUGGAGGAACACCAGUGGCGAAGGCGACUUUCUGGUCUGGAACUGACGCUGAGGCGCGAAAGCGUGGGGAGCAAACAGGAUUAGAUACCCUGGUAGUCCACGCCGUAAACGAUGAGUGCUAAGUGUUAGGGGGUUUCCGCCCCUUAGUGCUGCAGCUAACGCAUUAAGCACUCCGCCUGGGGAGUACGGUCGCAAGACUGAAACUCAAAUGAAUUGACGGGG